Amaranthus tricolor (Joseph's coat) is the source of this 3616-nucleotide long non-coding RNA. RefSeq lists it as uncharacterized. The record is from RefSeq and is a predicted model, not a curated record. Lineage: Eukaryota; Viridiplantae; Streptophyta; Magnoliopsida; Caryophyllales; Amaranthaceae. The transcript has 5 exons.
GAUACAAGAGUCAGCAUACACCCUAUUCUAACUCAUUAGUAUGAGUAUGAUAAUUUUCUUUCACGUUGAUUUUUUAUAUUAUGUCAACCCACCAACAAAUCAUUAUAUAAUGUAAUAUCCCUAUCAGGGAUGAUAAAUAUCAUUAUCAUUAUCAUAUCUAGUAUAUUCCAGUCAUAAAAACUAUAAUCCGACUUUAAAAAUGAGAGAUUGAUGAUAACUCAUAUCUAAAUUGUUUUACCUUUUAAAAAUUAAUUUCUAUAAUUUCCACAUAAAUUAUUAUUCAAUAUUCAAUCUAAUGAACAGUUGCCUUUUAUUUGCGGCCAAGUGGAAUUGGAAACCGCUAAGAUUGCUCCACGAAGCUGCUUUCAACUAUUCACUUCAUCAUUCUUUCACUCUUUCAGUUUCAACUUAACCUCCUCAUUAUUGUAUUCCAGUUCCACGAUAUGCUUCUGUUGAUUUUGAUCAAUUGCUUCCUUCAUAGAGGUGUCUCCCUCUUCUCUAAUCUUGAUCAAUUGCGCUUUGAAUCUCGAUCCAUUCUUGAACAUUCAUAAGGGUUUUCAUUUUGGAAUCAUAAAGCUAAUGAGAUGUCGCUGUGGAAGAAUUACUGGACAAAGCAAGAAGCAGAGCUCAAGAAAACGCUCUCACCAUUGAAUAUAAAGUCAAUGCUAUCUCAAUGAUCUCAGCGCCUGAGAAGGAAUUAGAACAAGCUUGAACGCGUAUUGAGGGGUUGGAAACCGAAAGACGAUCCUCAAAGAAGAAGAUUGAGCACUUGAAGAAACUCGGUAUCCCGCUCUUGCAUCUGUUCUUCGUGCAAUUGAAGCCCUUUCUAUGAUGUAUGAUUAUUCGGAAGGAAUGUGUUCAAAUAAGGAAGUUCUUCAGAUGGCUAUGGAGCUAAUCAAAAUACCUGAAAAGCUGGAGGUGAACAUUGAAAUUUUCUGUAAAUGAUUGGAAACAAGUUCCCUGGAUGCUUUUACUAUUUGGCACUGAAUCUCUUAGAGGUAGAGAUCCUUCUAUAAAGGUUCAAUCAAGUGGAAAAUUUAGUUUAUUUGAAGUCUUGCAUUUUUGUGAAAAGUUAGUUGCAUUUGUCUUCAUUUUGGUUUGGUUUGGAUUAAACUUGAUGUUUAUUUGAAGUCUUGCAUUAUAGUUGAAGUCUUGUAUUUUUGUGAAAAAAGAAGCCCAGAUCGGGAAGCAAUUAGGGUAUAAUGCUCUCUUACCCUUUUGGAUUAUUGUGGGUUAUGUAGACGAUCGAUUUUGUAGUUCAUAAGUUUCAUUUUAAUUUAUAUUCAAGCGAAGAUGUUCCAUCAAAGAUGAAGACACUAGAAGGCUAUGUUCGUUGAUUUUAAUUUUCUGUUGGGUUUGUUAUUUUCUCUUUUAUUUGUGCUUUUGGGUCAGUCUUCUUGUUGUUGAUUGCAACCCUGUUAGGUUUUUAUCACUUGGAGUAUACUGGUUGAGAAAUGGAUUGGACUUGAUUGAAUUAUGUUGGCUAUAUAAUGAUAUGAGUUAAUAAAAAGUGAUGCAUAUAUCAUACCUAAGAGUAUAACUUCAGCAAAAUUUUGAACCAGGAGUAGCUGAAAUUAAGAAAAGAGGCGAGGUUUUGGUUUUUUGUUUAGGUCUUGGUUUUUUCGUUGAGGUUUUGUUUUUUCGUCCUAUUCUUUUAUUUAUUUGUUUAUCUGUCUUCAAUCGGGUUCUUGAUUAUGGAGUUUGUUGUUCUAUCUUUCUUCUUAAUCCUUCUGAUUUUUGAAGAAAUUGCUGUUCUAUCAUCACUUGAUCUUGUUUCAAAAAUUGGCAGAGUACUAGAAGAAAUUAAUUUGGCUUUAUUGUUCUUAAAUUUCUUGUUAAUUGCUCAUGCGUGCCAUUGGAAAUGCUACAAUUAACUUUUGUAUGUGAGAGCUUUAUUUGAAUAAUGUAAUAAUGGUGAAUGAUGGAGGAAGAGUAUUAAGCUAGGCUUUGGCAAUCAAAGUUGAUACCUUAACAAGUUUAGAUUAUAGUGAAUGACGGGCAGAGUUCAAUUAUUUAACAAGGUCAUAAUAGUAAAUUGCUAGUGGUUAAGGAAAGGAAUAGUGCUUAGGAUUAAUGGAGGAAAAGUUUUGAAUCAAUUUCUUUGUUGAAGGAUCAUGAUGGAGGAACUGUUGAGUAUAAGAUGAUUGAGUUCAAUUCCUUCAUAAGGCUAGGGUUGAAAGAAGAUGUUUUAAGUGAAAACUUAGAAGAUAGAAAAUGAUGUACUAAGAAAUUAUUGAACUUGUUUGCAUUAUUUUUUUGUAGGAAUUCAAAAUUAGAGUUUAAGCCAUCAGUCAUUUCUCGUUAUUCAAACUCCAUGUUUUAACCCUUAAUAAGGAAUUGAACUCUCCAUCUUCCCUUCUAUCUUCCAAAAACAUCGGAUAGUUUCUAGAUUUGCACGUUGCACCCUGGGCUUCUCUGAAAUUUACAAUAAUGAUGAUGCCAAGCCCCAAUGCUCAUGUUAUAUUCUGCCGCUUGUGCUGCAGUUUAUUCGCCUCUUUGUUUUACGUUUGAUCUGUGUCUAAAGAACGACCACAUCUUUUUUACCUCUUUUUUGCCUCAUACACCUUUAGGCUUUUCUUAAUUCCUAAUUUGCUCAAAUAUGUGAUAGUGGAUAUUGUUUUCUUCUUUUGGACCAAUACAUCCAAUUUGAAUUUUUAGUUUCUUUCGUGUCAUUUUUGGUUGAUUGGAUAUCAGAAAGAAGUUUUGUUAUCGUAGGUUAAGAUUUCUUCUUCAAUAUACAUUUAUAGAAGUCAUGCAUACUAUAUUGUAUAUUGUCUUUUUCGUUCCGUAACAUAAUAGAAACUUAUUCCGUCUUAUAUUAGACGGGAUUCGACAAAAAAAAUCUUCAUUUCAUUGAAUAGAAGAUUUAACCCGUCUUUUUUGUUAUUUUGUAAAGGUAGAAUAACAAGUUUUGUGAUUUUGGUCACAAUGUAGUUCACUUUGUUUCUUUGUUUCUUUGUUCAGGUUGAAGAGCAAACAGCUAAGAGUGGUGUGAUUGUAAGCCUUUACACAUAGGUGUUUAAACGAGAAUUUUUUAAAUCGAUGGCAGUAAUUUACUUUGACAAUUUGAAUUCCAAAUGUUAGUUCUGGGAGAUCGAAAGGUGGAAGCUUAUCUAUUAAUAGACAAUAAGUAUAGCUUCUCAUUAUUGCUUAACUCUCAAAGUUAUAAGUAGAUGUCCAUAUUGUUCAUAACUAAUAAAUGUAAACCGAAGAAGGAAACAUUGACGUUGUGAAUACUAAAGAAUGUAGCUAGAUUUUCAACUUGUAGAAUGAAGAUGAUGCUUUAUCGCUUUCACCUUUGAUGUAAAUACGCUUUUGAUAUUGUUUGUACGUUAUAGCUAAAAGAAGAUUGAAGAGACAUGUUAGAAUGGCUUGAAUAUACGAGUGAUGAUGUUGUGUUGGGUGGCAUUCUACUCGUUUGCUGGUGGUAAUUAAAAUGGUAGUGCUUUGUUUUUUCAAACAACUCCCAUCAUUCUUACAACUUUUAUGUGUCUAUUCUUGAAUUUGCAAUGUAAAUAUUCAUGUGAAUUGUUUUCGCAAAUGAUAUUUAGGUGAUGACAUUAUGGAAUUUAGGGCCGGUAAAAGCUGACCCGACCUGAAAUUCCAAUAUAAUCAA